This 253-nucleotide ribosomal RNA is filed under the name uncultured bacterium. RNAcentral's name for it is "partial 16S ribosomal RNA". It matches the Rfam family "Bacterial small subunit ribosomal RNA", at positions 524 to 776 of the family's 1533-position model. The record is from RNAcentral.
UACGAAGGGGGCUAGCGUUGCUCGGAAUCACUGGGCGUAAAGGGUGCGUAGGCGGGUCUUUAAGUCAGGGGGGAAAUCCUGGAGCUCAACUCCAGAACUGCCUUUGAUACUGAGGAUCUUGAGUUCGGGAGAGGUGAGUGGAACUGCGAGUGUAGAGGUGAAAUUCGUAGAUAUUCGCAAGAACACCAGUGGCGAAGGCGGCUCACUGGCCCGAUACUGACGCUGAGGCACGAAAGCUAGGGGAGCAAACGGG